Molecule: ribosomal RNA, 700 nt
Filed under: Pseudomonas sp.
Lineage: Bacteria; Pseudomonadati; Pseudomonadota; Gammaproteobacteria; Pseudomonadales; Pseudomonadaceae
Description: bacterial SSU rRNA
Rfam family: Bacterial small subunit ribosomal RNA
Source: RNAcentral
UCGAGCGGAGAGGGAGCUUGCUCCCGGAUUCAGCGGCGGACGGGUGAGUCCCACCUGGGAAUCUGCCUGGUAGUGGGGGAUAACGUCCGGAAACGGGCGCUAAUACCGCGUACGUCCUACGGGAGAAAGCAGGGGAUCUUCGGACCUUGCGCUAUCAGAUGAGCCCAGGUCGGAUUAGCUAGUAGGUGAGGUAAUGGCUCACCUAGGCGACGAUCCGUAACUGGUCUGAGAGGAUGAUCAGUCACACUGGAACUGAGACACGGUCCAGACUCCUACGGGAGGCAGCAGUGGGGAAUAUUGGACAAUGGGGGCAACCCUGAUCCAGCCAUGCCGCGUGUGUGAAGAAGGUCUUCGGAUUGUAAAGCACUUUAAGUUGGGAGGAAGGGCUUUAGGUUAAUACCCUGAAGUUUUGACGUUACCAACAGAAUAAGCACCGGCUAACUCUGUGCCAGCAGCCGCGGUAAUACAGAGGGUGCAAGCGUUAAUCGGAAUUACUGGGCGUAAAGCGCGCGUAGGUGGUUCAGUAAGAUGGGUGUGAAAUCCCCGGGCUUAACCUGGGAACUGCUUUCAUAACUGCUGAGCUAGAGUACGGUAGAGGGUAGUGGAAUUUCCUGUGUAGCGGUGAAAUGCGUAGAUAUAGGAAGGAACACCAGUGGCGAAGGCGACUACCUGGACUGAUACUGACACUGAGGUGCGAAAG